GUCUGAUCAGUGGCGAACGGGUGAGUAACACGUGAGUAACCUGCCCCAGACUCUGGGAUAACCCCGGGAAACCGGAGCUAAUACCGGAUAUGACACCAACGGGCAUCCGUAUGGUGUGGAAAGUUUUUCGGUCUGGGAUGGACUCGCGGCCUAUCAGCUUGUUGGUGAGGUAGUGGCUCACCAAGGCGACGACGGGUAGCCGGCCUGAGAGGGCGACCGGCCACACUGGGACUGAGACACGGCCCAGACUCCUACGGGAGGCAGCAGUGGGGAAUAUUGCACAAUGGGCGGAAGCCUGAUGCAGCGACGCCGCGUGAGGGAUGACGGCCUUCGGGUUGUAAACCUCUUUCAGCAGGGAAGAAGCGCAAGUGACGGUACCUGCAGAAGAAGCACCGGCUAACUACGUGCCAGCAGCCGCGGUAAUACGUAGGGUGCGAGCGUUGUCCGGAAUUAUUGGGCGUAAAGAGCUUGUAGGUGGUUUGUCGCGUCUGCUGUGAAAAUCCGAGGCUCAACCUCGGACUUGCAGUGGGUACGGGCAGACUAGAGUGUGGUAGGGGAGACUGGAAUUCCUGGUGUAGCGGUGGAAUGCGCAGAUAUCAGGAGGAACACCGAUGGCGAAGGCAGGUCUCUGGGCCAUUACUGACACUGAGAAGCGAAAGCAUGGGGAGCGAACAGGAUUAGAUACCCUGGUAGUCCAUGCCGUAAACGUUGGGAA
RNAcentral lists this ribosomal RNA (715 nucleotides) under Terracoccus sp. Its description in RNAcentral is "bacterial SSU rRNA". It matches the Rfam family "Bacterial small subunit ribosomal RNA", at positions 86 to 815 of the family's 1533-position model. Lineage: Bacteria; Bacillati; Actinomycetota; Actinomycetes; Micrococcales; Intrasporangiaceae. The record is from RNAcentral.